Molecule: non-coding RNA, 2597 nt
Organism: Paramuricea clavata
Lineage: Eukaryota; Metazoa; Cnidaria; Anthozoa; Malacalcyonacea; Plexauridae
Source: the annotation of a GenBank genome assembly
UCAGUAUUGAUUAUGACGUCCCCAAGAAUCGAAUGCUCGCGUCAUUUUUGUCGCGUCACGAAAUCGCGAAAGACCGUGUCGCUUGCAGAUUUCAAUACAAAAACAUAAGGGAAACAGCAUUCGAACGGUGAAAUAUGCUAAUUUUAUAAAGUUUGUGUACUUGAUGGAGGUUUUGGGGUUAAAAUUUUGCAAGCCAAUGGUAAGUGUUUUAUAUAACAUGUAUUAUUGUUUCAUAUCAAAUUUCUUUCGUUAGAAAUUGCAAAUCAAAUACUGACCAAGUGUAAAUACCACGAGGCUCGGAGGCUGUCAUAGCUGCUGCAUAAAAUUUCGAAACUGAUUAUCAACUAAACAAACUGGCAUGUAAAUGUCUUGUUUCUCAUUUUAUUAAUAACAAAGUCAUGGUUUGGAUAUGUAAACCAUUCUCCAUUUUAAGGUUAACAUGUAGUAAUAUAAAUGUUCAAAUCUCAAUACAGUUCUGUCACUCAAAGCAAUCCAAGACAGUCUGUCGGUCAACAAUAUUGAAAUAUUAAAUUCAACAUAAUUCAUUUUCAUUCAGUUUUCAUAAGUGCUGAAUCUUGAUAUACUUUCUGUUUUUUUUCUUUUUCCUGUCUUUCUUGCUCUUAAUUCUUGGUUGUUGAACUUUAAAAUGCAAUGCAAACGCAUUUUUACAAAUAACUCAUUGAGGUACAUGCUUGGGAAAUAAGAACACUCUGAUACACAAAACAUUGGCAAUUUUGCAAUUAUGUGCUCUGCAAUUUUUGAUCUUUGGAUAUAACAACUAAGUUAAUCAACAACUUUGCUCUCUAUUUUCGUGACAUACUGAAUAAAUUCAUCUUGAGGACCAGUCAGUCCUCCAGAGUCAGUGCUCUUGUUUUCAUAAGCUUUAAAAUAGCACAGUAGCUGGCUGCUGUUGGUCAAGGUAAGCUUAUGUGCACAAGUAAGGCAUUUCUGUUUGUCCAGGCAUUUUCGCAGUAGGUAUCCUGCAACAUAUGUCAGUGCAUUCAUGGACAUUAAAUUCUUCUCAACUUCCUCAUGCUUGUAGUCUUUCUCGUCCAUUACAGGUCCUUUCUUGGUGUUCUUUUGAGUACCUGGACAAGGAUCUGACAAGUCUGAAUCAGCAGCAAUGGCAUAACUACUAUGGGCUCGGACCGGGCAAACCCGGGGGCCCCCAACCCCAAUGGGCCAAAUGGGGGCCCCCAGGCUCAGGCUGUAGAGCAAAAACAUUGGCCAGGGUUUCUGAUAUGUUAGAAUGUCGUUUUCUGACCAUCAGAAGUCUGUAAAAUCUCUCCCCAAAGUCUGGGAAAUGGCAUUUGAGAGAGUCUAGAUUCAAAAAUUUUCCAUGUGAGCAUGCCCUGGACCCCCUAGAAAACUUGUGCAUGAUAUGGCACUCGACUCGCUUUUGCUUUUGGACCUUCGAAAAUUUUGAACUGGGGGCCCCCUGAUAUUUUUUUUAUUAUUUAAUAACAUGCCACUGAUCAGCAGAACAGUUGAAUUAUGUUCAACAAAAAAAUUAUAAAGUAAAUGACCUUAACAAAGCUUAACCUCGAUUAGUAGGUUCAACAGGAUUAUGUUGUGUUCCAGAAUAAAUUUACAUUGAUCUUGAGGAUGGACCUAAAUAUUAGUGGGACAUUGAUUAAUUCAUUUUUAAAGCUGUUCAGAAAUCUAAUUGGUUAAAAUAUUUUUUGCAGGAGAUCCUUUGAAGAAGAAGUUGUGGUGUAAUACCUGUAACUUAAUCAUCAUCAUUAACUGAAUUUGAAGACUCUGUACUUGAAUCAUUUAAAGGAUUAGUGUCAGGGUCAUGCAUUGUGGGCUUUUGUUAUUGUUUACAUAUUACUCAAUACAUCAAAUAGUGAUAAAAAUACUUGUUUGGUACAUUUCUCAUAAAAAUCAGACAAAAAGAGCAAGGAUUUAUUUAUAAAAGGAUGGUUUAAAUAUAUGAUGGAUUGUAAACACUUUCCAGAUGACCUAAUCUAUUCGUCCCGAAAAAUGGCCGCCGGCAUGAGUUUGAGCCCGCAAAUUCUUAAAGGAAUGUUGAUGGUCACAGUGGUAGUACUAGUUGAUGGAACUGAACCAUAAACCUCCGACUAUAAGCCUUGGGCUUAUAUUAUUUUGUAAGCGAUUUUUGAUGGGAUUAUACAAGGGGGGGGCUUAUACAUGGAUGAUUUUUUGUGUUAGUGUAAUAGUAAUAAACAUAGUAAUAGUGAUAAAUAGUGGUAAUUAAGUGAUAAACAAUAGUGAUAAACAGGUGGGCUUAUAUUCAGGGGGGGCUUAUAUUUGGAAUGAGGUGAGCAUUAGUACACAGGGGGGGGGCAUAUAUUCGGAGGGCUUAUAUUCGGAGGUUUACAGUAUGGGUGCUCAGCCCAGAGUCUGAAAAUAAUAUUUAUAUACCUUUUAUUUAAUAACAUCACUGUAAAUGCAAGUAUUUUGUUUACAUUCGCAGCCUUUCAUACAUAUACCACAUAGGCGACAGAGCUAAAUGUACAUGUCACAAAAACUAUAUAUUCAUACACAUUAAAUACACAUUUGUAUGGAACACAUAAUUUUUUAGUAGUUCAAAAUAUAAAAGACAAAUUUCACAACAAAACAGAUUAAUAGGC